GGAUAACCUAAGUCAACACCGCAACGUCCUGGAACUGAGGCAAUUAAAUCAUCUCUGUACCUGCCACGAAGCUUGGCUCUAUAGCCAUUGAAGGAUGGAUAUUGAGGUAUAUACGAUUUAUGGGCCAAGGAGGAUGCAUGGCUAUUGAGGAUGGAUAUCAACUAGCAUUGGAGUUGGACAAUGGUUGGAAACAAAGUGAAAAAUCAGGCUCUCCAAUUGACAUUGAUUCUUCCCUAAAGGAUUAUUUUACGUUGAUAUUGAAUAUGAAAAGUUGAUAUUGAAUAUGCCCAUAUGUUGAGAUAAAGUAGCUUGGUGUAAAGGAUUAUUUUACGUUGAAAUUGAAUAUGAAAAGUUUUAUAUGUCUUAUUGAAUUUUUUGCAAAACUAUUGGUCAUUGGAUCAAGGAAUAUAAGAAAACUAAAGUUCCUCGGUUAAGUUUGGCGGUUCUGUUCAACAGUUUAACACCCCUAGACUUAAUUAUGUAAA
Molecule: long non-coding RNA, 485 nt
Organism: Vicia villosa (hairy vetch)
Lineage: Eukaryota; Viridiplantae; Streptophyta; Magnoliopsida; Fabales; Fabaceae
Exons: 3
Source: RefSeq, a predicted model, not a curated record